AUUGAACGCUGGCGGCAUGCUUUACACAUGCAAGUCGAACGGCAGCGCGGGCUUCGGCCUGGCGGCGAGUGGCGAACGGGCGAGUAAUACAUCGGAACGUGCCCAGCAGUGGGGGAUAGCUCGGCGAAAGCCGGAUUAAUACCGCAUACGACCAGAGGGUGAAAGCGGGGGAUCUUCGGACCUCGCGCUAUUGGAGCGGCCGAUGGCAGAUUAGCUAGUUGGUGGGGUAAAGGCCUACCAAGGCGACGAUCUGUAGCUGGUCUGAGAGGACGACCAGCCACACUGGGACUGAGACACGGCCCAGACUCCUACGGGAGGCAGCAGUGGGGAAUUUUGGACAAUGGGCGAAAGCCUGAUCCAGCAAUGCCGCGUGUGUGAUGAAGGCCUUCGGGUUGUAAAGCACUUUUGGCGGGAAAGAAAAGGACUGUGCCAAUACCACGAUUCGAUGACGGUACCCGCAGAAUAAGCACCGGCUAACUACGUG
Molecule: ribosomal RNA, 484 nt
Filed under: uncultured bacterium
Lineage: Bacteria
Description: partial 16S ribosomal RNA
Rfam family: Bacterial small subunit ribosomal RNA
Source: RNAcentral